This 465-nucleotide ribosomal RNA is filed under the name uncultured bacterium. Its description in RNAcentral is "partial 16S ribosomal RNA". It matches the Rfam family "Bacterial small subunit ribosomal RNA", at positions 338 to 795 of the family's 1533-position model. The record is from RNAcentral.
CCUACGGGAGGCAGCAGUAGGGAAUCUUCCACAAUGGGCGAAAGCCUGAUGGAGCACCGCCGCGUGGGUGAAGAAGGUCUUCGGAUCGUAAAACCCUGUUGUUAGAGAAGAAAGUGCGUGAGAGUAACUGUUCACGUUUCGACGGUAUCUAACCAGAAAGCCACGGCUAACUACGUGCCAGCAGCCGCGGUAAUACGUAGGUGGCAAGCGUUAUCCGGAUUUAUUGGGCGUAAAGGGAACGCAGGCGGUCUUUUAAGUCUGAUGUGAAAGCCUUCGGCUUAACCGGAGUAGUGCAUUGGAAACUGGGAGACUUGAGUGCAGAAGAGGAGAGUGGAACUCCAUGUGUAGCGGUGAAAUGCGUAGAUAUAUGGAAGAACACCAGUGGCGAAAGCGGCUCUCUGGACUGUAACUGACGUUGAGGCUCGAAAGCGUGGGGAGCAAACAGGAUUAGAUACCCCUGUAGUC